UGGGGAAUAUUGGACAAUGGGGGCAACCCUGAUCCAGCCAUGCCGCGUGAGUGAUGACGGCCUUAGGGUUGUAAAGCUCUUUUCUCCGGGACGAUAAUGACGGUACCGGAGGAAUAAGCCCCGGCUAACUUCGUGCCAGCAGCCGCGGUAAUACGAAGGGGGCUAGCGUUGCUCGGAAUCACUGGGCGUAAAGGGCGCGUAGGCGGCUGAUUUAGUCGAGGGUGAAAGCCUGUGGCUCAACCACAGAAUUGCCUUCGAUACUGGUUGGCUUGAGACCGGAAGAGGACAGCGGAACUGCGAGUGUAGAGGUGAAAUUCGUAGAUAUUCGCAAGAACACCAGUGGCGAAGGCGGCUGUCUGGUCCGGUUCUGACGCUGAGGCGCGAAAGCGUGGGGAGCAAACAGGAUUAGAUACCCUGGUA
RNAcentral lists this ribosomal RNA (420 nucleotides) under uncultured bacterium. Its description in RNAcentral is "bacterial SSU rRNA". It matches the Rfam family "Bacterial small subunit ribosomal RNA", at positions 355 to 792 of the family's 1533-position model. The record is from RNAcentral.